RNAcentral lists this ribosomal RNA (254 nucleotides) under uncultured bacterium. RNAcentral's name for it is "partial 16S ribosomal RNA". It matches the Rfam family "Bacterial small subunit ribosomal RNA", at positions 524 to 776 of the family's 1533-position model. The record is from RNAcentral.
GACGGAGGGUGCUAGCGUUGUUCGGAAUCACUGGGCGUAAAGGGCGCGUAGGCGGCCUUGCAAGUCGGUUGGUGAAAGCCCGGGGCUCAACCCCGGAGGUGCGGCCGAGACUGCAGGGCUGGAGGCCGGAAGAGGUGGGUGGAAUUCCUGGUGUAGAGGUGAAAUUCGUAGAUAUCGGGAGGAACACCAGUGGCGAAGGCGGCGAUCUGGGCUGAUACUGACGCUGAGGUGCGAAAGCGUGGGGAGCAAACAGG